RNAcentral lists this transfer RNA (72 nucleotides) under Sphaerodactylus townsendi. RNAcentral describes it as "tRNA-Ala". Lineage: Eukaryota; Metazoa; Chordata; Lepidosauria; Squamata; Sphaerodactylidae. The record is from RNAcentral.
GGGACUGUAGCUCAGUGGUAGAGCAUGUGCUUGGCAUGUAGGAGAUCCCAGCUUCAAUCCCUAUCAUUUUUA